Molecule: ribosomal RNA, 547 nt
Filed under: Fusarium sp. FPGLXJ04
Lineage: Eukaryota; Fungi; Ascomycota; Sordariomycetes; Hypocreales; Nectriaceae
Description: eukaryotic LSU rRNA
Rfam family: 5.8S ribosomal RNA (bases 204-357)
Source: RNAcentral
GGGAAGUAAAAGUCGUAACAAGGUCUCCGUUGGUGAACCAGCGGAGGGAUCAUUACCGAGUUUACAACUCCCAAACCCCUGUGAACAUACCACUUGUUGCCUCGGCGGAUCAGCCCGCUCCCGGUAAAACGGGACGGCCCGCCAGAGGACCCCUAAACUCUGUUUCUAUAUGUAACUUCUGAGUAAAACCAUAAAUAAAUCAAAACUUUCAACAACGGAUCUCUUGGUUCUGGCAUCGAUGAAGAACGCAGCAAAAUGCGAUAAGUAAUGUGAAUUGCAGAAUUCAGUGAAUCAUCGAAUCUUUGAACGCACAUUGCGCCCGCCAGUAUUCUGGCGGGCAUGCCUGUUCGAGCGUCAUUUCAACCCUCAAGCACAGCUUGGUGUUGGGACUCGCGUUAAUUCGCGUUCCCCAAAUUGAUUGGCGGUCACGUCGAGCUUCCAUAGCGUAGUAGUAAAACCCUCGUUACUGGUAAUCGUCGCGGCCACGCCGUUAAACCCCAACUUCUGAAUGUGACCUCGGAUCAGGUAGGAUUCCCCCAAUACUCUU